This 273-nucleotide ribosomal RNA is filed under the name uncultured bacterium. Its description in RNAcentral is "partial 16S ribosomal RNA". It matches the Rfam family "Bacterial small subunit ribosomal RNA", at positions 1064 to 1337 of the family's 1533-position model. The record is from RNAcentral.
GCCGUGAGGUGUCGGCUUAAGUGCCAUAACGAGCGCAACCCUUGUCAUUAGUUACCAUCAGGUCAAGCUGGGGACUCUAAUGAGACUGCCACCGUAAGGUGAGAGGAAGGGGGGGAUGACGUCAAAUCAGCACGGCCCUUAUGUCCGGGGCGACACACGUGUUACAAUGGGGGGUACAGAGGGCAGCCAUCCGGCGACGGAGCGCCAAUCUCAAAAACCCUUCUCAGUUCGGAUUGGAGUCUGCAACCCGACUCCAUGAAGUUGGAUUCGCUA